AGAGAGAGACAUGCGCGCAUAUCAAUAAGCGGAGGAAAAGAAACUAACAAGGAUUCCCCUAGUAACGGCGAGUGAAGCGGGAAGAGCUCAAAUUUGAAAUCUUCAAGGUUCUACCUUGACGAACUUGUAGUUUAUAGAAGUGUUUUCUGUUAGGGAGUUUGGUAAAAGUUCUUUGGAAUAGGACAUCAUAGAGGGUGAGAAUCCCGUAUUUGGUCAUUCCUUCUAGCGUUGUGAUACACUUUCAACGAGUCGGAUUGUUUGGGAAUGCAUGUCCAAAAUGGGUGGUAAAUUUCAUCUAAAGCUAAAUAUUGGCGAGAGACCGAUAGCGAACAAGUACCGUGAGGGAAAGAUGAAAAGAACUUUGAAAAGAGAGUUAAACAGUACGUGAAAUUGUCAAAAGGGAAGCGUUUGACACCAGUGUUGUUUUUCCGAAAAUCAAUUACGAAUGUUUUAUUUUUGAGAGUUAUGACUUCAUCGGCUUGCUCCUUCUCUUUACGAAACUUUCUUAAUGCACUUUUCGGUUAACAAGUCAACAUCAAUUUCUUUUGUUGUAAAAGGGUAUGAGGAAGGUGGCUUUCUUUUCGGAGAAAGUGUUUAUAGCCUUGUGCCUCUGCAAUCGGAGAGAUUGAGGUCUGCAGCGUAGAUCCUUCGGGGUUAGAUACAUUUGUGCUAAGUUAUAGCUUUUCAUAGACAACUUGUUGACUAUGUUUAGUCUUGUAGCUUACUCGCUUAUGCUAUUUUACCUACGCUUAGGAUGUUGAUAGUCACAGCGUGUAC
RNAcentral lists this ribosomal RNA (777 nucleotides) under uncultured Neocallimastigales. RNAcentral's name for it is "partial large subunit ribosomal RNA". It matches the Rfam family "Eukaryotic large subunit ribosomal RNA", at positions 23 to 644 of the family's 3401-position model. Lineage: Eukaryota; Fungi; Neocallimastigomycota; Neocallimastigomycetes; Neocallimastigales. The record is from RNAcentral.